Molecule: non-coding RNA, 911 nt
Organism: Struthio camelus australis
Lineage: Eukaryota; Metazoa; Chordata; Aves; Struthioniformes; Struthionidae
Source: RefSeq, a predicted model, not a curated record
CAUAAUUGGGGGAAUAAUUAUGGGCCUUGGACUAGGGAGUAGUUCUAGGAGGGCUGUGCAGUUGCCUGGCCUCUCAGUAACUGUUCUGGCUUCUUUGCAGGUGCUGAAGCAUAGUCUGGCAGUCGAAGGAGCGGCGUCACAGCUGGGAGCUCCGCAGAGAUCUGCGGCUGGCCGUGGAGGACGAGCUCUGACUUGCAGCGUGGACGCAGCUAAGUCCUGGGGCUGCAUUGCGUGUGAGCAGGGCUGGGAGGUGGAAGGCGGUUGUCCCCUGGUGCUUACUGCUGUCACUGGCUGUGGAUGUUUGCCCAUGGAGCUGAGGAGCCCAAAAAUAUUAAUUGUCGGUGAUGGAGAUGAGUUAGCGCUUGCAAUGUUUCAGGUGGGUUCAGUGGACGUGCAGCUUAGUGCAAUCCCGUGGAGCGAGUCUUGCACAUGCUGACGGUGGCUAAAACCAAGCCUGUAAACAGCAACUGCAACAUGAUUCUGCGUUCAGCUCUGUGCAAUGACCUGAGGUCUGGAUUGGUACGGUGCAGGCCCAUCGCACUGAGAGCGGUGAUGUGACGGGUGAGGUGAGAGCUGUGAAAGUGUCUUGCAGGGCUCUAGUCUGGGGUAGGGCAGAAGUGAUCAGAUGGGCAGGAUCAGAGAUCAAAGAUCCUCUCACCUGUCAGAGCUGAAUCCUAUCCCUGAAGGGAAAAGCCGAGGGGAUGGGCUGUCGGCCACUCAGACACCUGCCGCGUCAAGGGCAGCAGCAGGAGCUGAGCCUUCCUCACGGACCGACGAACACUGGUGCGGUGACGACUCUUCAGGUGUCACAGGGUAAGGAGAAGCAUGCUGGCACCGAGCUCCAUGGCAGACUCUCUCCCAGGUGUUGCUUCUGUGCAGUAAAACAAUAAACAGUUGCUUUAUUCUUUGCA